CGGAGCUGCUUUGAUGAGAUCUUCGGAUGGAUUUAAAACAGCUUAGUGGCGGACGGGUGAGUAACGCGUGGGUAACCUGCCUCACACUGGGGGAUAACAGUUAGAAAUAGCUGCUAAUACCGCAUAAGCGCACGGUUCCGCAUGGAACAGUGUGAAAAACUCCGGUGGUGUGAGAUGGACCCGCGUCUGAUUAGCCAGUUGGCGGGGUAACGGCCCACCAAAGCGACGAUCAGUAGCCGGCCUGAGAGGGUGAACGGCCACAUUGGGACUGAGACACGGCCCAAACUCCUACGGGAGGCAGCAGUGGGGAAUAUUGCACAAUGGGGGAAACCCUGAUGCAGCGACGCCGCGUGAGUGAAGAAGUAUUUCGGUAUGUAAAGCUCUAUCAGCAGGGAAGAAAGUGACGGUACCUGAAUAAGAAGCCCCGGCUAACUACGUGCCAGCAGCCGCGGUAAUACGUAGGGGGCAAGCGUUAUCCGGAUUUACUGGGUGUAAAGGGAGCGUAGACGGCAAGGCAAGUCUGAAGUGAAAGCCCGGUGCUUAACGCCGGGACUGCUUUGGAAACUGUUUGGCUGGAGUGCCGGAGAGGUAAGCGGAAUUCCUAGUGUAGCGGUGAAAUGCGUAGAUAUUAGGAAGAACACCAGUGGCGAAGGCGGCUUACUGGACGGUAACUGACGUUGAGGCUCGAAAGCGUGGGGAGCAAACAGGAUUAGAUACCCUGGUAGUCCACGCCGUAAACGAUGAUUGCUAGGUGUAGGUGGGUAUGGACCCAUCGGUGCCGCAGCUAACGCAAUAAG
RNAcentral lists this ribosomal RNA (797 nucleotides) under uncultured bacterium. RNAcentral describes it as "bacterial SSU rRNA". It matches the Rfam family "Bacterial small subunit ribosomal RNA", at positions 67 to 864 of the family's 1533-position model. The record is from RNAcentral.